UGAGGAAUUUUGGGCAAUGGGCGAAAGCCUGACCCAGCGACGCCGCGUGGAGGAUGAAGGCCUUCGGGUCGUAAACUCCUGUUCUGGGGGAAGAAUACGGGAUGCGUGAAGAAUUCAUCCCGCUGACGGUACCCCAGGAGAAAGCUCCGGCUAAUUACGUGCCAGCAGCCGCGGUAAUACGUAAGGAGCAAGCGUUGUCCGGAUUUACUGGGCGUAAAGAGCUCGUAGGCGGCCGAUCAGGUCUCGCGUAAAAUCCCCCGGC
RNAcentral lists this ribosomal RNA (262 nucleotides) under uncultured bacterium. Its description in RNAcentral is "partial 16S ribosomal RNA". It matches the Rfam family "Bacterial small subunit ribosomal RNA", at positions 355 to 608 of the family's 1533-position model. The record is from RNAcentral.